This 419-nucleotide ribosomal RNA is filed under the name uncultured bacterium. Its description in RNAcentral is "bacterial SSU rRNA". It matches the Rfam family "Bacterial small subunit ribosomal RNA", at positions 64 to 469 of the family's 1533-position model. The record is from RNAcentral.
GAGCGGACCGGAUCGGGGCUUGCCUUGAUUCGGUCAGCGGCGGACGGGUGAGUAACACGUGGGCAACCUGCCCGCAAGACCGGGAUAACUCCGGGAAACCGGAGCUAAUACCGGAUAACACCGAAGACCGCAUGGUCUUUGGUUGAAAGACGGCCUUUGGGCUGUCACUUGCGGAUGGGCCCGCGGCGCAUUAGCUAGUUGGUGAGGUAACGGCUCACCAAGGCGACGAUGCGUAGCCGGCCUGAGAGGGUGACCGGCCACACUGGGACUGAGACACGGCCCAGACUCCUACGGGAGGCAGCAGUAGGGAAUCUUCCGCAAUGGACGAAAGUCUGACGGAGCGACGCCGCGUGAGCGAAGAAGGUCUUCGGAUCGUAAAGCUCUGUUGUUAGGGAAGAAGAAGUACCGUUCGAAUAGGG